AGCCGUGAGCCACCGAGGGUGACAGGCCCCGUGACUCAGCGUGGUGGCAGAUGAGGAUGUAUUCAUUCCAGACUCAAGAGUAAACGGGGGGCGUUCAGGCAAGCGUGCAGGGCAGGCUGAGUCAACUCGUACCGAGAAGCUCAGAGUAAGCGGUGAGGUCCAGGGCCGGGAACUUCCCAGGCGUCCGCUCACCUGGCAGAACCUUGCCUAGCCUGCAGGGAGCCCUUUGCUCACUACCCAGCAUCCCAGGCGUGUGAGCCUUGGCCUGCACAGGGAGUCCGAGGCCAUUGUGGGCUGGAGAAAACAAAAAAGGAUUCAGAGCCUGGGCUGGGAGACAGUUCUCAGCUCUGUCCUGGCUUUCACCUGUCUGCCCGCGCGUCCUGCCGUCCUGCCGUCCAUCUGACAUCCUUACCCAGGGAGAACAGCAGGUGCGCGGCCGGAGAUGGGGAGAAUGACUCCCGGAUCCAUGCUCUAAGGCCUGUAGCCCACAGCUAGGAUUCCUGAGAAGAGAGUCGGGUGUUGGAAGAAGCCAGCCCUGGAAACAAUGUGUGUGGAGCCGUCAGUGGGGACCAGGUGUGGCGGAAAUCUCCACUCUCUGGUGUUGAUUCAGGCACCUCAGCCGAUGAAGCUGGGGAGACAGGCAGCUGUGAUCAUUGGUGAUUCUUCAAAAGGAGAAGCCAAACGUUGGCAAAACGAAACAGCACACCCUGUCUGUUCCAUUAUUAAACACGGCAGAUGCCAAGAAACGAAGGCUUGAAAAUAACCACAGCUGCCCAGGACGCGGCUCCUGCAGGACCCUGGCUCUGAAAGAUACCCUGGCCUGCUUCUGCCAGAAAACACUUUGAAAAAAGAGCGAAUGCAAGGCCACUUACUUCCACGUCGCAAAAACAGUUUGUCAGUUGCCAACUUCAUUUUCCUAAUGUUCUCUUACCCAGUAACAUAAGCCUGGUGGCUGGGUGGAGUCUGGCUCGGGGAAUUCCAUCCUGACCGCCAAGGAGUUUGAACUGGACACACUGUUAUCCCUCUUUUCUCCUGCUGUCCUGUUAUCCAUCCCACUAACGGGCUUCGACCCAAAUCGUGAGAGGGCUGGAAGGAAGGAAUUUCCAAGGAGGGUGAAGAAGUGUGUCAGGAGAGCUUUUAGCCGGUGAAUGCAGAAGUCUCCUCUCAAACUCAAGCCCAGGUUUAUUCAUUU
This 1192-nucleotide long non-coding RNA is filed under the name Meriones unguiculatus (Mongolian gerbil). Its description in RNAcentral is "lncRNA (ENSMUGG00000024525.1)". The record is from RNAcentral. Lineage: Eukaryota; Metazoa; Chordata; Mammalia; Rodentia; Muridae.